RNAcentral lists this ribosomal RNA (468 nucleotides) under uncultured bacterium. RNAcentral's name for it is "partial 16S ribosomal RNA". It matches the Rfam family "Bacterial small subunit ribosomal RNA", at positions 28 to 507 of the family's 1533-position model. The record is from RNAcentral.
GACGAACGCUGGCGGCGUGCUUAACACAUGCAAGUCGAACGGAAAGGCCCUGCUUUUGUGGGGUGCUCGAGUGGCGAACGGGUGAGUAACACGUGAGUAACCUGCCCUUGACUUUGGGAUAACUUCAGGAAACUGGGGCUAAUACCGGAUAGGAGCUCCUGCUGCAUGGUGGGGGUUGGAAAGUUUCGGCGGUUGGGGAUGGACUCGCGGCUUAUCAGCUUGUUGGUGGGGUAGUGGCUUACCAAGGCUUUGACGGGUAGCCGGCCUGAGAGGGUGACCGGCCACAUUGGGACUAAGAUACGGACCAGACUCCUACGGGAGGCAGCAGUGGGGAAUAUUACACAGUGGGCGGAAGCCUGAUGCAGCGACGCCGCGUGCGGGAUGACGGCCUUCGGGUUGUAAACCGCUUUCGCCUGUGACGAAGCGUGAGUGACGGUAAUGGGUAAAGAAGCACCGGCUAACUACGUG